AAGAAGAUCAGGUGCGCUGGUUUGGUUGACGAAGAGAUUUGUGCCCCCGAAAUCGUGAGUAGGUACCAAAGUCAGCCAUUUUGGCGGCCAUUUUGGGAUCCUAACAAGUCUGUCCUUAAAGAUAUAAAGAUUAUAAUUUGUUCUCGUCAUGCAUACUUAUAGAUAAAUGACUUAUUUUGCUAAAUCAACUUUUUCAUAAAUAUACCUUUAACAUUUCGUUGCAUUGAAGUGGAUUUAGCAGUCCUAAAAAUGAAUCAACUAUGCAAAGUUCAAUUCCGGAGUUAUCUGAAACGCCUCUGAAUCAAAUCAGAAUGCUAAAUAAUUGUGACGUUUACGACUAAUCGCUAAAUAAUUUCCACGGCUCAGUUCCAGGCUAUUUCGAAAACGGACCACUUCCACCCAUCCACUACCACACGACAAAAAGGGGAUCUCUUCAACUGGAAAUGGACGGCUAUCGAUUCACAAGAGUGAAAGUUCUGCAGACCACCAUUCACUGGUCUUGUUUGCAAACAAAGGCACUUCGCUGUAAGGCUCGAGCCGUUACCAAUAAUGACUUUCAGGGUACCAUCCGAAGGUACGUUAACUAUCACAAUCAUCCGCCUAGUAUGCGACGUCGCCAGCAUGGAGAUCUGCAGCGGAUCAAAGAGAAUAGAAUGACUGUGAAAUCAAAGAAACAGUGAUAUGGUGAAUUGUUAUUCAAGUUAGCAAAUUGUUUUGUUGAAAUAAAAUUACAUUACCGAAUACGCAUAAACGUUCAUUUCUAUUGUUCUGAGGUUUACUUUGUACGGCCACUUCUCAUCUAUGCCGAAUUUAUUUUUGCAGAUAUUAGUCGGAUCGAGGCCAACUACGUUUCCAGUAGAAAAGGAACUCCUCAAUUGAUGAUCGAUGGUCAUUGCUACAGCAGGCAAAGGGUUCGCUUACGAACUAUUCGAUGGCGUUGCGUGCAGUUUAAAGCUUUACAUUGCAUGUCACGGGCGACAACCGAUCGUCAAAAAGGCGGUCAGAUCAUUUCAGUCGAUGGAGCACACAACCAUGAAGUGAUCAAAGAGCGGCGGAAGAAUGGCGAACUUCGGGAACUGCUGGCUAGGCGACAUGCCGAACGAACCAACAUCGGUGUCAAUUUAAAAGUUGAAGAUAUAGAUAGUUGAAUAAAUCAGUCUUUGUAUGCUAAACCAUUUUCGCUUCAUUGCUACACAUACGAAGAGCUGGAUGUGCACGCCAAACUGAGCAAGAGAGGCAAGGUUCAGCUGAUGAUCGACGGGUUUUCGUUUUCACGUGAAAAGGUUCGUCCGCAUACCAUUCGGUGGAUUUGCAAUCAAGCAUGGGUUUUGAACUGCAAAGUUCGAGCCACCAGUGAAAAAAUGAGUGGAAAGCUAAUAUCGGUCCGAGGAGCGCACAAUCAUGGCGUUGUCAGCAGUCGGCGAAAGUGGGGUCAAUGUAAAUUCAUCAAAGAACAAUGCGAGAGGGAUUCGGAGCAGUCAGUGGAACCUCCACGUAAAGGAGGAAGACCCAAAAAGCAGCUGGAGCAGUGGCAGCUAUAGGCUGUGAAAGUGUAAUUUAUAACAAUAUAUACACUUUUGAUUUAUGCAUUACUUGUUUUUCUUUAGUGUGUUUCAAUGAAGGUUUUGUUGGCAAUUUUCAUAAUUUAUAAAAUUUCUUUCAGGCAACUUUUCGUACGUAAUGAGUCGUCGAGGUACGCUGCAGUUGCAGAUCAAUGGUCACAUAUUCACUAGAUCGCAGGUCCGCGAAAAAAUAAUAAUUUGGGUUUGCAGUCAAAGGAGAGCCCAUCGUUGUAAAGCUCGGGCGACAACAAGCCGAAAAGAGGGAAGCGCUAUGAUUUCGCUGAGAGAAGACCACACUCAUGAUGUCAUUACCGGACGGAACGUUCAUCGAAAAAAGAUUAUGCCGACUCCUGCAGUUAUUCUUUCCGCCACGGAAUCAGACUUGGAAUAUGAUGAAUACGAUUUGUUAUGAUAAAUAUAUGCAAACAAGAACCACUGCAAUUCUUAUACAUUCGCUUCUCAAUUGUUAUUCUUACUUUCAAAGACAGUUCUGAUAUUUGACAAAGUUUUAAUUUUUUGUGUUUCAGUUCCGAAUGACGUGGCCUACAUAAUGACCAGCCGUGGAAUACAACUAACGGUCAACGGGUACCUAUUCUCUCGUCAAAAAGUCUCCACGCACUGCGAGAUGUGGCGCUGCAUGCUUUCGUACUCUCAUAGGUGUCCUGCUCGAGCAAGCACGUACAAACCACGAAACGGUCAGGGUGCUCGAAUUUCUCUCCGAAACCAGCACAACCAUCCGAUCGGUGCGACCAGCCGCAAGAAUAAGAAACCAGCAGUGAAUAAAUCACCCAAGUUGCCAAAAGUUCUCAGCGGAAAUAAACCAAAGGCUUCAACGGAGCAGUAACAGUAUAGUUAACAUAAACAUUCGCAUCGCAAAUAAAGGAUUCUUAAAAGUUCAGUGUGAUUAUUUUCGUGUAGUACUAGAUUUACCUUGGUGGUUAUAUUUUGAUGUUGGUUAAUUACUUUUUAUUUCUAGAAAUCAGUGACAUAUCUUUCGUGAUGACCAGAAGGGGCCGAAUGCAGCUUUCAGUCAGUGGGUAUCUUUACACUCGAGAUAAAACACGAGGUGAUUCACAGUUUUGGGCGUGCAACCAAUCAAAAGUGCUGAACUGUACUGCACGGGCCACUACACACAAGGUACAAAAGAACGGCUCACCGAGGAUAACUCUACGAGGACAGCACAGUCAUGAAGUGAUCACAGAACGACGGAAAUCCGGAGCGCGUGCCCGCUUGAUCGAGAAAUGCCGGAAGGAUCGUGGACUUGUGCCUUAAUAUUGGUUAAAAAAUAGAACACCCAGCUAUCGGAAAAGGAAUUCUUAUACAUGCAAAUUAAGGCUCUAGGAGCAACGUUUUAAAGUGAAUACCAGUUCAGUCACAGGACAAUCAACGAACGACGCAAAACCGGUCCGCGAGUCAAGCUUGUGGAGCAAUGUAUUCAAGAAAGAUGCUUGAAGCGAUAGCGGUGAUAUCCAUUCUAGUACUUAAUCGUUUCAAUGAUAUUAAAAAAUGCUGUUACAUUUCGAAUGCUUAAUUUAUUUGCUCUAGUACUACAGUUACAAUGCGUUGCAAUUCUCAUUACUAAAAUGAUUUCUCAUUAAUUCAGAUAUCUCAUUCGUCAUGAGCAAACGAGGUAAAACUCAACUUUGCGUCGAUGGAUUUCUCUAUAUGCGCGUGAAGGCUAGCGACGAACUGCAGUACUGGUCGUGCAAUCAGUUCAGGGUGCUUGGCUGCACGGCUCGUGCCACAACUGGAAGGGGGAAAAGAGACGGCAAACCGAUUAUCAAGCUGCGCGGCUUUCACAAUCACCGGAUAAUUAUGCAGCGUCGAAAACCUGGCGAAUGUGCUAAAUUGAAAGAGCAAUACGCCCGUGAACGGGACGGGCUACUAGAGAGGGCUAAACAUGCUGUACCAGAACAAACGAAGCCGUUAUCAAUACCAGUGGUAUCACAACCGUCGCUUUUACCGAUGGCACAGUGCUUUUUGAAGCAAGAAAAAUGAAUGUGAAUUGAUGAAGCAUCUUUUUCGUUAUUCUAUUACUUCGUCGCUUAUAUAUCGAGCUGAUAUAAUGCGAAGUACCGUGUUAUUUCGGGAGGUCUGUAGUAUGCAAUAGAUAUUAUUAUAAAUAAACUUAAAACCGUUGAUUUAUACUUAAGAUGUUGCGAUCAGGGUUUACAAGAAAAGUUAAUAAUCACACUGAAUCGCGUCGUGCCAUAAACGAUAAAUAUGCACAAGUUGUAACAAAUUGAAAAACUAGAAACCAUAAUAUGUAGAGUGAAACCUCAUAUCUUUGUUCUUAAUGGAAAAAAUGACUGUUGUAGAGCGACAGAGAGAGAAAAAAUAUCAAAUAAAUUUCGUUCAAAGCUAUUUCUAAAAAAUAUGCAAUGUAUUCCGAAAAAUUUUCACCGAAUCAUACACGCAUUUGACAUUAUAACAAAUUUCUUUGCAGUUGUCUGCCCAGAGGAAAUUUCCUUUGUAUUGAAUUACCGAGGAACGCAGAACAUGGUGAUUCGAAACCACUUCUUCGUUCGCAACAAAAUUUCCCAACGGUAUCUUUUCUGGAAUUGUGCCCAGAAGAAAGCUCUAGGCUGUCGCGUUCGAGCUACAAUGCCACGCCCACCCAACAAAGGACCUGUCAUAUGCCGAGGGGAACACAAUCACGAAGUGGUUUCCGAACGACGAAAGCAUGGCGCACUCAGAGAAUUACUGAACAAACGAAAGCUAGAUAAAGAGCAGCCGAGUGCAGGGAGAUGUAGAAAAUAGAGAAUAAAUCAAAUUCAGUUGAAAGUGUUUAUCUUAUGUCUUUUUAGAUUUGAAUAUCUUAAUUUUUCAUAUAGGAGAUUCAUUAUGUAUUGAUGUAUUACAGAUAACUAUAUCAGCGAUAAUGCAUCCGAAAUGGAUAUAUGCUACAUGGUGACAGCUCGUGGAACAACUCAGCUGGUUGUGGAAGGAUAUCCGUUUACCAAACUCAACGAACGGGCUCAUAUGACGUUCUGGGCGUGCUGUCAAGCUAGACCCUUGAAUUGCAAAGCCCGGGCCACAACAUAUCGCGCUUCGAGGGAUGGAAAAAUCACGUUCAGAGGAGAGCAUAACCAUGGCAAAAUCCAUGAACGGCGCAAAGCGGGUGCGCUCAGAAAACUACUCGAGCAACGUGACAAAGAGAAAGCUCGACAAAAAUUGUUGAAAUCAGUGGGAAUUGUGUAUGAAUAAAAGAGCCACAUGAAAUGAUGCUGUUUUUUGUCUAUCGUGAAGUAAAAAUGGCAUCAUUGCUUGAUUCUAAAUGUCAUAAGUAGUGUUGCCAAAUUUUCAAAUCUGAUUCAUGGUUUUAAAUAAAAAUUGAGAUGUGUUUAGAAAUCUAGACACUCGUUACGUGGACACGAGCAGAGCGCAUCAGCUAGUCAUACAGGGUUACAGCUUCACCCGAAAGCAAAAACGGAAACGAAACACGAUUUGGGAGUGUUGCCAGUCGAGGCCGUUGGGAUGAAAAGCAUCGGUAACCAUCUAUGUGACAGGAAACAGAGUGAAUAUGCGAGGAAUGCACAACCAUGCAAUUAUGACGCAAAGACGAAGACUGGGCUAGCGCAAACGGUUGAUGGAGGCACGCGUGCAGGAGCGUAUCUGGCGGAAAACCGAAAAAGAGAAGUGAUUGUCGCAGGGAAUUUAAAUUUGUCUGUCAUAUUACUUACACUAUUAAAAAAAAUAAAAUAUCUAAACGAUAGUUUUGUUUUGCAAUGUGAAGAUUGAGUCAUGGUACAGAACGGGCUAGUUGAUUACAUUAACGGAGACCAUUGUCAUUUGAAUGCUGAACAAUAAAUGAAAACUAUCAUUUAGAUCGGAUCAACCGCCUAACUGAUUGUUUUUUGUGUGAAUAUUUUCAGGCGAUCUACUACAAUCAAUGGAAGACUAUAGUCAAGUUCAAACCGAAUUUGAAAUGCCACAUCCGGAGAUGGCUGGAGUGUCUGUACUGUAUAAGCGUAAUCCAGUCGAAAUAAUAGGCGAUGAAAAACGUAAGUAGUAAUGUUUACAUUUCAAAUUACUUGGUAGCAGAAUUGCCAGAUACAAUCUUAUCGGUACGAAGCUACACAAUUCAUUUGCCAUUGUGAAUCAGAUCCUACACACCAAAUAUUGCGUAUUUUAGUGAGCACUACUCCUAGUUAGUCUUAUUUUUAGUUCAUAUUAUUGAAAACACACAAGGAAAAAAGCGCUUGCGCAUUCAUCCAAAUAGUAGAUUCCUUUAACGAUUACCUGCAACAAAAAUGGGACCCUCUAGAGGGUAAACUUCAAUAUUGCUUAGAAUUCUUUUAGAGACAAAGUUGAAAGUAAAUACCCCCGAGAGGGUAAACUCAUAUUUUAGAGCAUUUCCCCAAGAGGGUACACCAAUAUUAUGACGCCUAACCCUGAAAGCGUAAGCUAAAAUGGUAAUCUCUCGAGAUCAUAUGCCAUGGUUAGCAGCUAAUAUUUACCAAGUAGUGAACACGGGAGACAAUUGUUGGUAUUCAAAAGAAAACCUCUGCCAUUUCUGAUGACCACUCGAAAAGGGUUGGCCCUAAUGAGUGAGAACAUUUUGGAUAAGACAGUAGCCUGUAAGUGUAGUCUUCGAAACGUAUUUCAAGCAGUGUGUAAAAAAAUCAAAGGCUGAAAGUGAAGAUUGACAUUCUCAUUUUUUCAUUCGUGUUUGGUCACAUUCAAUGUCAGCUGAAUGCCUCUCUUUCUUCAUUCAAUUCUUUGUCUCGAAUAUUUUUUCGCAAUCGUAAAAUGUCCAAUUUCUGUUAACAGACACACAAUCCGACUUAAUGGACAAAUAGAGCAGUUAAUUAGUACUGCAAUUAACUACUAUAUACAAGUUUUGAGGUGAUUGGAAGAAUAAUCGGGAGUUAUGGUCUAGUUAUAUUUCUCAGUGAAAAAUGUUAGUGACAGAAAAAUGAAUGAAUAAAUGAGAAAAUUCAUUCACCAAAAUGAAUUUUAUUUUGAUCCCUCAUUUGAGAAUCUUCAAAAUUCACGUUGAAUUUUACUCACUGAAAAUGAAAAUUUUAAACUCUGUGCCUUUUUCCAAAUA
This is a long non-coding RNA of Aedes albopictus (Asian tiger mosquito), 6615 nucleotides long. RefSeq lists it as uncharacterized. The transcript is spliced from 12 exons. The record is from RefSeq and is a predicted model, not a curated record. NCBI's taxonomy places the organism in Eukaryota, Metazoa, Arthropoda, Insecta, Diptera, Culicidae.